This 432-nucleotide ribosomal RNA is filed under the name uncultured bacterium. Its description in RNAcentral is "partial 16S ribosomal RNA". It matches the Rfam family "Bacterial small subunit ribosomal RNA", at positions 29 to 506 of the family's 1533-position model. The record is from RNAcentral.
AACGAACGCUGGCGGCAUGCCUAACACAUGCAAGUCGAACGAGAGCUCCGGGUCUAGUGGCGCUCGGGUGCGUAACGCGUCGGAAGCUGCCCUUAGGUUCCGAAUAACUCCCUGUCAGGGGUGCUAAUAUCGGAAAAUGUCUUCGGACCAAAGAUUGAUCGCCCUUGGAUGGGCCCGCGUUGGAUUGGCCAGUUGGUAGGGUAAAAGCCUACCAAGGCGACGAUCCAUAGCUGGUCUGAGAGGAUGAUCAGCCACACUGGGACUGGGACACGGGCCAGACUCUGACGGAAGGCAGCAGUGGGGAACAUGGGACAAUGGGUGAAAGCAGGAGCCAGCAAUGUCGCGAGACUGAUGUAUUCCGUAGGAUUGUAAGGCUCUUUUACCCGGGAUGAUAAUGCGGGUACCGGGGGAAUAAGCUCCGGCUACCUCGGU